GACAGUAGCAGCAGCAGGGUGCUGCCGGGCGGGCGGUGUCUCCCAGGCGGCCUUGCCCGGAUGUGCUACCCUGACUCAUAGUCGCGCCGCACGCAGGCUCCGCGCUGCUGCCGUGCUCUCCCGUCCCGCUUCGCGCACACGCCUCCCGCGCCUCCCUCCGCGCCAGCGGGGAGGCGGUGGCUGCAGCAGCGGCAGGAGGGGAAGGAGGAGGAGGCCGCGGCGGCACCAUGGAUAAUCUAAGUGAUGCCCUGAAAAAGCUGAAGAUAACAACCACUGACAGCACAGCAGAUAGCUUGGAGGGAUGCUUGGACUGUCUGCUUCAAGCUCUGGCACAAAACAAUAUGGAGACAAGUGAAAAAAUCCAGAAAAGUGGAGUUCUUCAGGUGUUCGGGAGUCUGUUGACGCCACAAUCUUCCUGCACAGCAAAAGUAGCUAACAUCAUAGCAGAAGUAGCCAGAAAUGAAUUUAUGCGAAACCCAUGUGUGGAUGCCGGGUUGAUCCCUCCUUUGGUGCAGCUGUUAAACUGCAAAGACCAGGAAGUAUUGCUUCAAACAGGACGUGCCCUGGGCAAUAUAUGCUACGAUAGCCAGUCAAGUAAAGAGCAGUUUGCCUACACAAACAUUGCUGAAGAGCUUGUUAAACUGUUCAAGAAGCAAAUAGAGCAUGAUAAAAGAGAGAUGAUUUUUGAAGUUUUGGCUCCCCUGGCAGAAAAUGAUGUCAUUAAACUGCAGCUGGUUGAAGCUGGCUUGGUGGAGUGCCUACUUGAGAUUGUCCAGAAGACUGUGGACAGUGACAAAGAAGAUGAUGUUGCAGAGCUUAAAACAGCUUCUGAUCUUAUGGUUUUAUUAUUGCUUGGAGAUGAAUCCAUGCAAAAGUUAUUUGAAGGAGGAAAAGGCAGCGUAUUCCAAAGAGUACUUUCGUGGAUUCCUUCCAACAGCCAUCAGCUACAGCUUGCAGGAGCAUUGGCUAUUGCAAAUUUUGCCAGAAAUGAUGGAAACUGCAUCCAUAUGGUGGAUAAUGGCAUAGUUCAAAAGCUGAUGGAUCUGCUAGACAGACAUGUGGAGGACGGAAAUGUAACUGUGCAGCAUGCUGCACUGAGUGCUCUCAGAAACCUGGCUAUUCCUGUUGUAAAUAAGGCUAAGAUGCUAUCAGCUGGUGUUGCAGAAGCUGUAUUGAAAUUUCUCAGAUCGGAGAUGCCCCCUGUUCAGUUCAAGCUGCUGGGAACAUUAAGAAUGUUAAUAGAUGCACAAGCAGAAGCCGCUGAACAGCUGGGCAAAAAUAUCAAACUGGUGGAACGGUUGGUGGAAUGGUGUGAAGCCAAGGAUCACGCAGGUGUGAUGGGGGAAUCCAACAGACUACUUUCCGCACUUAUACGACACAGCAAAUCUAAAGAUGUAAUUAGGACCAUUGUACAGAGUGGAGGCAUAAAGCAUCUAGUAACCAUGGCAACCAGUGAACAUGUAAUAAUGCAAAACGAAGCUCUUGUUGCACUGGCAUUAAUAGCGGCUUUAGAGUUAGUCACUGCUGAAAAGGAUCUCGAAAACGCUCAGCUUGUUCAGAUUCUACACAGACUGCUCUCAGACGACAGGAGUGCUCCAGAAAUAAAAUACAACUCCAUGGUGUUGAUCUGUGCCCUUAUAGGAUCUGAGCCUCUUCAAAAGGAAGUGCAGAGCAUGGCGUUUCUAGAAGUCAUAUCAAAACUCCGCAGCCAUGAGAACAAAACUGUUGCCCAGCAGGCCUCACUAACAGAGCAGAGACUUGCUGUAGAAAGCUGA
Molecule: long non-coding RNA, 1775 nt
Organism: Amazona collaria (yellow-billed parrot)
Lineage: Eukaryota; Metazoa; Chordata; Aves; Psittaciformes; Psittacidae
Source: Ensembl